Molecule: ribosomal RNA, 711 nt
Filed under: uncultured fungus
Lineage: Eukaryota; Fungi
Description: LSU rRNA
Rfam family: Eukaryotic large subunit ribosomal RNA
Source: RNAcentral
CUACAGGAUUCCCCUAGUAACGGCGAGUGAAGCGGGAAAAGCUCAAUUUUUAAAUCUCUCGGGUUCCCCGAGCGAAUUGUGGUUUAGAGAAGCGUUUUCUGGGGUCGCUUGAGUGUAAGUCCUCUGGAACGGGGCAUCAGAGAGGGUGAGAAUCCCGUCCUCAACUCUAUGCGCACUCCUCUACGAUACGUCUUCGAAGAGUCGGAUAGCUUGGGAAUGCUGUCCAAAAUGGGUGGUAAAUACCAUCUAAAGCUAAAUAUAGGCGAGAGACCGAUAGCGAACAAGUACCGUGAGGGAAAGAUGAAAAGAACUUUGAAAAGAGAGUUAAACAGUACGUGAAAUUGUCUAAAGGGAAACGCUUGAAAUCAGUCUUGCGCGCCUGAGAUCAGCCAUUCAUCAGGGUGGUGCACUCUCAGUCGUGCGGGUCAGCAUCGGUUUGGAUUGGGGUAAAAGGCUUGAGGACGGCGUUCGCGUCUGCCUGUGAGUGAUGCCCUGAACCAGACCGAGGAACGCAGUCAUGUUAUUGGAGAACCGCUCGCCUCUUUCUUCGCGGAGUCAGACAACUUGUUGACUGUCACUGUUUGCAGAUUGCGCACGGGCGGCUAUCACACCUUGACUUAGGAUGCUGACGAAAUGGUUUUAAACGACCCGUCUUGAAACACGGACCAAGGAGUCCAACACAUAUGCGAGUCUUUGGGUGGCAAACUCAUA